AUGGAGCUGGCAGUGGUGCUAGACAUGGGGCAGAGGGAUGUAGCUUUCUAUCUACAUCGGUGCGAGGAAGACAAUAACUGGAAGUCUUCUAAGAGCAAAGUCAAAAAUUUUAGAACCCAAAUUUUAAUUGUAUUGUCUCUCCAAAAAGUCCUCAAAACCCUGAAAACUGUGAAAAAAAGUCACCGUCCGAACCUUUCCUUAAACCCUACACCUUACCAAGAAAUAACACAAAUCAUCUCUAAAACCCAAAACCCUUCUUCACCUUCCAAACCCAAACCACUCAAACUCAACACCACCACCACCACUUUCCUCUCCAAUCUCAACCCCACCACAAUCCUCCAUGUUCUCACAGACCCAGAUCUUAAAUCCUCUAAAUGCUUGUGUUUCUUCAACUUUCUCCUCCACAACCCAUCUCUCUUGUCCUUCAAGCCUGACUUGCAAGCCCAAUUGACACUAAUUUGCAGGCUUGUCAGAGAAAGAAGGUUCUCAGAUGCUGAGAAAAUGAUCAAAUUUGUCUUGGUUGGUGGAAAUCCCAGGUACCCAUUUUCUGUUAUUGCUGCUACAGUUGGGAAUUGUUGCAAUGAUGAAAAAGUUAUAGCCAAGCUUUUCAAUUCUAUGCUUAACGUUUAUUCGGAUUGUAAAAUGUUUGACUUAGUUUCGCGGGUUUUCGAUUAUAUGAAGGGUAAUGGAAUUGAGAUUGAUGAGAGGACUUGUACUGUUCAUUUACUUGCACUUAAAAAAAGUUAUGAGUGUUUGCAAUUGGUUUUGGACUUCUUUUAUUGGAUGGUUGAAUCGGGUAUUGAGGUUUCUGUGUAUUCUUUGACAGUGGUGGUGGAUGGGUUGUGUUGGAGUGGAGUGGGCAAGAGGGGCAGGGAGUUGGUGGAGGAGAUGAUUGGUAGAGGAAUUAAGCCCAAUGUUGUUACAUUCAAUGUAAUGUUGAAUGCUUGUGCCAAGAGGUGGAAUUUUGAGGAGCUGGAAUUGGUUUUGCUUUUGAUGGAGAAGGAAGGAGUGGCAUUCAGUGACCAUACAUAUAAAGUUUUGAUCGGUGGGUUCACGAGUUCUGGCAAGAUUGACAAAGCCAAAAAGUUGGUUUUGGAGAUGCAUGAUAAAGGAUAAAAGUGGCUACUCAUCUGUACAAUUUAGUUAUUAAUGGGUAUAGUAGAUUGGGGUUUAUGGAUGGUGCAAAGUCGAUGUAUGGUGAAAUGACUGAUAGAAGUAUUUUUCCAAACGCUGAUACGUAUUCCGCUCUGAUAAGUGGUCUUUGCAAGGCUGGGGAAAUGGGGCUAGCAAUGACAUAUGUGAAUAUGAUGCAGCGUAAAGGGAUAGAACUAGAUGAUGUUAUGUUUAAUUCUUUGUUUGAUGGUUUUUGUAAUAAAGGGAUGGUCGAUGAAGCUUUUGAGGUGCAAGUUAUGAUGGAGAAGAAAGGAUUUGCUGCUGAUUUAACUGUGUUUGACAAGAUAGUGAGUGGGCUAUGUAAGUUGAACCGGAUUGAGGAAGCAAAGAGGCUUCUGAAUGUGAUGGUUAAAAGAGGUGCAACCUCAAAAAUUACGAGUUUCACUACUUCAUUUGAUAUAUGAAGUAUACAGAGGCUUUUUGGUGGAAGGAAAGGGCUGUUUAGAGGAUGGAGCAAUGGGCAUGAGUUCUAAUAUAAAGCAUACUUUGUUAGAUGUGUAUUGAAGAGGAGGGAACAUAAAAUGUAGCCUAGAUGCUUGUAGAUGAGAUGAAAGACACGGAUUUUAGGCAGGACUGGACUCAUAUUCUUAAAUACCAGUUACUGGAAACUCUUUUGUUGUGAAAGGCAAAUGAUUCACUAAGCUAUUCUGUGAUAUGGUCUCCAAGAUGAGAAUGCAUACAAAACAGAGUUUUCAGGCUUGUUGACAGACUGGCAGUCAGAUGAAGCAUUGGACUCCCAGAGCUAGCUGGUUCACCCUGAAAUGCAUUGAGUUGCAAUAGUUGACUGGACAUGUAUGAUGAGAUAGAAUAGAAUUGCUGAAAGUGACAGGACCUUAUCACAUUCCUUUAUCUUGGGUUUCACUCUGCCAAUAUUUGACGGCUGUGAACAAGAGAAGCAUAUCCUUCUGGGAGUCAUAGUGUGAGCUAUUGUGCCUAUUGGAUAAGCAAGAAUAAUGUUGGAACCAAAUUGAAGUGACUGCAAAGAAGAUAUCCAAACCCCAACCUCUCCUACUCACUAAAUGUUUUUCCAGGAGCAACCCUGAGACCCCCCUCAUUGUUUUAACUUCGGCCAGCUGCAUAUCUAACGAGGAGAUUGUUUUGUCCAAUGUCUUGAAAGUAUCGAGACAUGAAUAUGCCAUAUAAAUCAAUUACAUAAUAUAGGAAGGUAAACAAUUGCAACAUGGAAGAUAUUGCUUGGAUUCUUUGAAAUAUUACAGAAUAUAGAAAGUAACAUGAUUAUAUCAUGUAUUUGUGAAA
RNA transcript from Quercus lobata, 2430 nucleotides. It is a transcript of the gene named pentatricopeptide repeat-containing protein At2g28050-like, with no coding region annotated. Lineage: Eukaryota; Viridiplantae; Streptophyta; Magnoliopsida; Fagales; Fagaceae. The record is from RefSeq and is a predicted model, not a curated record. The transcript has 5 exons.